Molecule: long non-coding RNA, 1645 nt
Organism: Alexandromys fortis (reed vole)
Lineage: Eukaryota; Metazoa; Chordata; Mammalia; Rodentia; Cricetidae
Exons: 4
Source: RefSeq, a predicted model, not a curated record
GCUUACUAGGCUUCGAGACCGAUCACUUAAAGGCACACUCUAGCCGUGCAGGGUGGUGAGGCCUCAUCUGUCCCUUGUCUGGAAGGCAGCCAGCCAAUCACUUCCAGAACAGCAGGCCCGACAGGCCUACAUCACCGGACCUGAUUCUUCGUUUUAUAUUUUGGAUUUCUCCCUUCCCAUCAGGUAACUCCUUCUCUCUACUGCUAAUGACGGCUGUGGUGUGUUGGGUAAGAAUGGACCCCAUAGGCUCAUAUAUUUGAAUGCUUAAUUAUCCGGGAGUGGUUUGAAAGGGUUAGAAAGGUUAGGAGCUGUGUCCUGGCUGGAGGAGGUGUGUCACUGGAGGUGGGCUUUGAGAUUUCAAAAGAGCCCACACUGCUACUAUUAGGCUCCCUCCUUUUCCCCCUCCCUCCCUCCCUCCUUCCCUCCCUCCCUCCCCCUCCUCUGUUCUCAGAUCAGGAUGCAGCACUCAGCUACUGUUCCAAUGCCAUGCUUGACGCCAUGUUUGCUUCCCUGUUUCCUGUCAUGAUGAUAAUGAACUGACCCCGUGAAACUCAACACCACUCAGAGGAAAUCCCGGCUCCCACAGCUCACGGUCAGCUGCUCUCUUUAGAACAGCUGCUUCUCCAUGUCACACGUGUCCUGCCUGCCAGGCCCAGCCUUUGCAGGUCCCUGCUGUGAAUUCUGCCUUUGCCUCUCCUCACACAAUGCCACUGCUGCCUCACGGCGUCAGAAGGGUGACUUUCUCAUCUAGGAUGACUGUGCUCACACGACAUACUCCCUCACACCCGUCCACUCCUGCGCAAACAUAAAACCAUCGUCAUCAUCACCUUCAACACUUGUGCUGAGGAUGGCGGUUCAUAAUCGAAAUCACAGCACUCCUCCGGCUGACAUGGGGGUCCUGAGUCAGAGCCAGCCUGAGUUCAUGGUGAGAUCCUGUUUUAAACACUACCAAUACCCUCACACUAAGUAUGACUCUACCCAGAGUCCUAAGAUAGAAGAGAAGUUAAGGUCCUCCCCGGUGUCGCCAGCCCAGCUACUCUCCAGUGAUAUGGCUGGGGAGAGCAUUGCCUUCAGUUUCUCGUGGAGAAAAAUCUUCCCUCUCUAGGUGUCUGCUUUACCCAUAGGGAUCCUUCUUGCUGAGGAUGUACAGCCUCCACACCGUCAAGGCCUUUCCCAAGGCCUCUCAGAGCCCCUGGGAGCAAAUCCCCACUGUUUAGAGCUUCAGUGACUCUAGGGGCUAUAGCAGUGACACCCUCUCCACCCACAUUACCCACUGGUGUCACAGCAUCUGAGGACUGCACUCAUCAGAUUUUGUAAGAGUCACACAUGGCUCCUCUGCGGUCUCUUUGAGGUGAGGGAAGAGCCUUUGUCCUGACCAGGACUCCUCGCUGGUUGAUGUUCGCUACUCUUUGGUGCGCACCCAACAUAAUUUUGCUUUCUUUUAAUUGGUCACCAUGAAUAACCUGAGCUGUCACCUCCACCACUGAGGGGGAGUCUUCUCCACUGCUGUUCUUACUGUACCGCUGUGAGCCCCCGCUAGAUUAAUCGUGUACCUGGUAACCCAUUGCCUCUUUCUGCUGUUUUGUGUUCUCAGUCACCACCCAGCACUCUCCGUACACCUGGUGCCAGGAUACUGGUCAUGGCA